UACGUAGGGGCCGAGCGUUGUCCGGAGUUAUUGGGCGUAAAGCGCGCGCAGGCGGCUUGACGCGCCCGACGUGAAAGCCCCCGGCUUAACCGGGGAGGGUCGUCGGGUACGGUCAGGCUUGAGGGCGGGAGAGGGUGGUGGAAUUCCCGGUGUAGUGGCGAAAUGCGUAGAGAUCGGGAGGAACACCUGUGGCGAAGGCGGCCACCUGGGCCGACCCUGACGCUGAGGCGCGAAGGCGUGGGGAGCGAACGGG
This 253-nucleotide ribosomal RNA is filed under the name uncultured bacterium. RNAcentral's name for it is "partial 16S ribosomal RNA". It matches the Rfam family "Bacterial small subunit ribosomal RNA", at positions 524 to 776 of the family's 1533-position model. The record is from RNAcentral.